Molecule: ribosomal RNA, 465 nt
Filed under: uncultured Klebsiella sp.
Lineage: Bacteria; Pseudomonadati; Pseudomonadota; Gammaproteobacteria; Enterobacterales; Enterobacteriaceae
Description: bacterial SSU rRNA
Rfam family: Bacterial small subunit ribosomal RNA
Source: RNAcentral
CCUACGGGUGGCUGCAGUGGGGAAUAUUGCACAAUGGGCGCAAGCCUGAUGCAGCCAUGCCGCGUGUGUGAAGAAGGCCUUCGGGUUGUAAAGCACUUUCAGCGGGGAGGAAGGCGGUGAGGUUAAUAACCUCAUCGAUUGACGUUACCCGCAGAAGAAGCACCGGCUAACUCCGUGCCAGCAGCCGCGGUAAUACGGAGGGUGCAAGCGUUAAUCGGAAUUACUGGGCGUAAAGCGCACGCAGGCGGUCUGUCAAGUCGGAUGUGAAAUCCCCGGGCUCAACCUGGGAACUGCAUUCGAAACUGGCAGGCUAGAGUCUUGUAGAGGGGGGUAGAAUUCCAGGUGUAGCGGUGAAAUGCGUAGAGAUCUGGAGGAAUACCGGGGGCGAAGGCGGCCCCCUGGACAAAGACUGACGCUCAGGUGCGAAAGCGUGGGGAGCAAACAGGAUUAGAUACCCGGGUAGUC